UGGAGAGUUUGAUCCUGGCUCAGGACGAACGCUGGCGGCGUGCCUAAUACAUGCAAGUUGAGCGCUGAAGAUUGGUACUUGUACCGAUUGGAUGAGCAGCGAACGGGUGAGUAACGCGUGGGGAAUCUGCCUUUGAGCGGGGGACAACAUUUGGAAACGAAUGCUAAUACCGCAUAAUAGCUUUAAACAUAAGUUUUUAGUUUGAAAGAUGCAAAUGCAUCACUCAAAGAUGAUCCCGCGUUGUAUUAGCUAGUUGGUGAGGUAAAGGCUCACCAAGGCGAUGAUACAUAGCCGACCUGAGAGGGUGAUCGGCCACAUUGGGACUGAGACACGGCCCAAACUCCUACGGGAGGCAGCAGUAGGGAAUCUUCGGCAAUGGACGAAAGUCUGACCGAGCAACGCCGCGUGAGUGAAGAAGGUUUUCGGAUCGUAAAACUCUGUUGUUAGAGAAGAACGACGAGGAGAGUGGAAAGCUCCUCGUGUGACGGUAUCUAACCAGAAAGGGACGGCUAACUACGUGCCAGCAGCCGCGGUAAUACGUAGGUCCCGAGCGUUGUCCGGAUUUAUUGGGCGUAAAGCGAGCGCAGGUGGUUUAUUAAGUCUGGUGUAAAAGGCAGUGGCUCAACCAUUGUAUGCAUUGGAAACUGGUAGACUUGAGUGCAGGAGAGGAGAGUGGAAUUCCAUGUGUAGCGGUGAAAUGCGUAGAUAUAUGGAGGAACACCGGUGGCGAAAGCGGCUCUCUGGCCUGUAACUGACACUGAGGCUCGAAAGCGUGGGGAGCAAACAGGAUUAGAUACCCUGGUAGUCCACGCCGUAAACGAUGAGUGCUAGAUGUAGGGAGCUAUAAGUUCUCUGUAUCGCAGCUAACGCAAUAAGCACUCCGCCUGGGGAGUACGACCGCAAGGUUGAAACUCAAAGGAAUUGACGGGGGCCCGCACAAGCGGUGGAU
Molecule: ribosomal RNA, 949 nt
Filed under: Lactococcus lactis
Lineage: Bacteria; Bacillati; Bacillota; Bacilli; Lactobacillales; Streptococcaceae
Description: bacterial SSU rRNA
Rfam family: Bacterial small subunit ribosomal RNA
Source: RNAcentral